CUAAGGUGUAGGUUAAGCUGUUCUAACAAAGAGACCCCAAAGUACAGUGACCUAGAUAAAACCACGCUAACAUUUUGGGAAAAAACACUGGGAACUUCUGGUCCUGUUGCCUGUGUUAACUAGGCCAAGAGGCCCAUGAAUGGUCAGCAUGGCUUCAUUCAAAUAACAUACUUAUUACUUAUGUGUAUUGAGUGUUUAAUAUAAAGGAAGUGCUUUGCAAAUUAGCUCAUUGGAUCUGUCAACAUUUGUAAGAGGUUGUUAAACCAUUUCACAAAGGAGAAAGGAAUCAGCGACCUUCAUGGAUGUGGUUGUGGGCUUCACCCAGGAAGAAUAGGCCUUGGUGGGUGCAUCCCAGCAAAAGCCGUACAGAGAUGUGAUGCUGGAGAACAUCAUCCAUCUUCUCUCUAUUGUUGAGUCUGUCCAUAAGGACUUAUUUACUCAACAGGUAUCCAGAGAAGUUUCCACAUAUCAUGCUCCCCUCUCAGCUCUCAUUUUUAUUCUUUCAUAACGCAACUACGAGAAGGCAGGAGAAGUAACCUUUAAAACCAAUAAAUGGUACCUAUACCAGAUAUCUGCAGGAAGGAUCCAUCUAACUGCACAGUGAUGGUUCACAGUGAUUUAACAUAUGUGAAGUCACGUGGGCCCAGGAGGCCCAACUCCAUAAGCUGUUGGACCAACUGAGGCAGCAAAGCCAUGAGGAAACACUGAAGUUUCACCUGGAAAAUACCCAAUAUAUUCUCCAAAACAUGAAAUACUGGAUCAUUGGGAUUCCACCCUGCCUCGGUCUCUGGCACAGCCUGUCCACCAGGCCUGCAGAUGUCCAAUCCUGGGUCAUCUUCCUUCCCUGCUUGUUCUCUGGCUUCGAAUGGAACGGAUGAAUUUGCCUCAGGCAUGCUAACCUUCUCCUGCAGAAGCCCACAAUUCAUAUGGGAUGAGAAUUCAUAUGGAGAGAGGAUAAUAAUAUUGUUAAUAAAGUUAUUUUUAUUAUUAAUAGCUAACAA
This 1001-nucleotide long non-coding RNA is filed under the name Equus asinus (donkey). RNAcentral describes it as "lncRNA (ENSEASG00005026571.1)". Lineage: Eukaryota; Metazoa; Chordata; Mammalia; Perissodactyla; Equidae. The record is from RNAcentral.